RNAcentral lists this ribosomal RNA (285 nucleotides) under Aristeus alcocki. RNAcentral's name for it is "partial 16S ribosomal RNA". It matches the Rfam family "Archaeal large subunit ribosomal RNA", at positions 1990 to 2375 of the family's 2987-position model. The record is from RNAcentral. Lineage: Eukaryota; Metazoa; Arthropoda; Malacostraca; Decapoda; Aristeidae.
CUGAUAUUUAUUGAAGGGCCGCGGUAUCUUGACCGUGCGAAGGUAGCAUAAUCAUUAGUCUUUUAAUUGGAGGCUUGUAUGAAUGGUUGGACAAAAAGUAAGCUGUCUCAUCUACAGAGUUUGAAUUUAACUUUUAAGUGAAAAGGCUUAAAUGUUCUAGGGGGACGAUAAGACCCUAUAAAGCUUUACAAUAACUGAAAUACAUUAAGAUUUGUUAGUAUAAUUUGGUUUAUUUUGGGUUUGUUUCGUUGGGGCGACGAGAAUAUAAGUUAGAUAACUGUUCUU